This is a long non-coding RNA of Canis lupus familiaris (dog), 2758 nucleotides long. RefSeq lists it as uncharacterized. The record is from RefSeq and is a predicted model, not a curated record. NCBI's taxonomy places the organism in Eukaryota, Metazoa, Chordata, Mammalia, Carnivora, Canidae. The transcript is spliced from 2 exons.
CGAGUGGAACGUCUCCUGGGAGCACACCAGAGAACUUUAUUAGGUUGGGGAGUAGAAAUGCCCUUUGGGGUACUUAAGAUGAACCUGGAUGGUCAAUAGGGGUUGAGCAGGAGGAGAGAGAAGACGGGUGUUCUGGGCAGAAGGAAGUGUAUGUUCAAAGGCCCUGAGGCUGAUAGUUCAGGUGAUUUCAGGAAACCAAGGCAGGGAAGUAUGGCCUGUUGGUGGACCCCGAGGACAGUGGCUUGCUGUGUGCGUGACAAGGAUCCCAGACCUCUACCAUGGGAAGGCAUCUUGAACGUGUUCUUGUCUACUAUUCUCAUCUUCCCGAUGAAGAACUGAAGCCAACAGGUCGACCCUGGCGAGAGGCAGAGGCUGGCCGGGAGCCAGCGGCCCAGCUCAGCGAGGGCCCAGGUCCUCUGACCAGUGCUGUGUGCAAGACAAUGGUGGUGGGAGGACCCAGGUCUCCUGGCAGGGCCCAUUUGGAGCUUCAUCACCGGCCACUGUAGGCCUCGGCAGAUCUCCAGAUGCGCUGGACAGGUGCUCCUUCCCUGGCUCUGGGAACAGUAGCCCUGGCCCUGCAGGUGUGCUCCUGAGCGGGCUCAGAUGCCGUGGGCAGUGCCACCGGGCUCAGGAUGCCUCCCGCCUCUGCCUAGCUCUGUCCCUCAGCCAUACCUCCCCUCCUCAGUUUGCAUCCCUCUUACUCCUGCAGCUCUGACUGUAAAAUAGACCCAGAUGAUGGGUCAUUAGUUAGAAUGUCUUGAAGCAACACACAAAAGCGUUAAGUUUUAAAAAGCUGAAUCCCUGCGGUAAGCGGUGGCAGAUAAAGGGCACGGAAUAUGAUUUUGAUGAUGAGGUGACACUUGGGCCCGUAGGCGUGAAGAGACUCCUGUAGAGAAUAGACACCCAGGGCUCUGCGGGACAGGUGACAGGGCAUGGGCACACCCCCUGCAGGCGCGGCCUCUGGGGCCCACCGUCCCCUGCUUCCCAUAUUUAAAACUCAGUGUUUUGCCCCUCAUUCCUUCAUUCACAUCCUUGUUUUCUUCUCCUUUAUCUUACCAGGCUUUAGGAAGUUCAAAACUAUUUCUAUGAAUUACUUUUUGCCCUCUCUGAGAAUUUGAUGCACUUUCUCACAUGAACUUGGAAACACAGAUUUAAGGCAAUUUUUUCAAGAAACUUUGCUGGGAGAGUCAUCUUUUCCACUUGGUGGUACAAAAACAGAAUUUUACUUAUUUGCCAUUAUUACCAUUUAUGUAACAUAACAACUAAUAAAUACCAUAUUAAAAUGAACGUUUAAAUGAAUGCUGCCAAUUACAUAAGAGACAUCAAUGUAGCUUAUAUUUUUUCUAAUUUAAAAAGUAAUAGCUGUUUCUGUGUAAUGGUGACAGGCACAUAGUAGAAACUCAAGAAAUAUUUCCUGAAUUAAAUUGAACGUGAUAUGGAAAAUCAGAAAGAUACAGAAAAAUAUGAAAUUUACCAUCCCUACAAAAUAACCCUAAUAAAAAUUGAUGUGUAUCCUUUUAUCCUUGUGCUUACACACUUCUAUAUCAUUUCUAUCUACAAAUGUACACACACAUUUAUAAGAUUAACAAAUUUGGGAUCACAGUUCGCAAAAUACGUAGUAUUAUAAUGUUUAGAAAGUUGUGGUGUUGUGUAGCAGUUACAAUACGAGCUAGGAGCCAGACAAACCCCAGGGUGAUACCGAAUCAGUUUAUUUAACUUGUUGGCAUUGCAGUUUCUUUCUUAUUGUUAAAAUAGGGAUAAUCAUAUCUACCACACAUUUUUUGUGAGGAUUCAAUGGGAAUCCUCAGGGAGGAUUUAACAUUAACAUAUUAAAUACAUUUAAUAUUAACAUACAUAAUAUAUGUAUUAACAUAAUACAUUAAAUGUAUUAACAUACAUUUGAUAUUAACAUAUUAAAAAUGCUUAUGACAAGGUUUGACACUUAGAAGUUUUUUCUCUAUUGUUAAAAAUUCCAUGGGGGAACUUCCUGGUAUCAACAUCUUCAAGCUCAUCUAUUUUUGUUUGUUUGUUUGUUUGUUUGUUUGUUUUUAAGUAGGCUCCACACCCAGCACAGGGCUUGAACUCAUCCCUGAGGUCAAUACCUGAGCUGAGAUCAAGAGUCGGACGCUUAACUGAGUCACCCAGUGCCCCUCUUUUUGUUUCUUAAGCAUUGAUUCCUGGAAGUAGAAUUAUUGAAUCGGAGAAGGUGAUUAUUUUCUCUAGAAAAUUUCUACCAAUUUCAGAUGUUAUAAAAGGAACUUCUAUGAAUUAUUGAAUAUGGGUCAGGCACUGCUUUAAGUAUAUGCUUUAACUCAUUGAUCACAGUGACAACACCUGUGAAGUAGGUAAGAUUAUUCCCCUCCCCCACCCCUCCCUGCCCUUUGCUGGUAACUGAUGCUCAAGGAACCCAAGUGAUUUGGCCACGGUCACACUGUUAACAACUAGUGUAGACAACAUUUGUGUCCAACGGCCUGGCUCCAGACCCCGUGCUCUUCCCUGUGACAGAUUCUUAUGAAGAUCCCUGGCAGAAAAUCAAUAGGAAGAAGCAUAUUUGGCAAAUCCUACAUUCAAAGGAGGCAGCGAAGAGCAACUGCAACUUUCAGAUUAGAUGAGGAGGUGAUGUUAUAUCCAGGGUCCUUGAGAGAGGGCUAAGGUGAUGGAUUCGGGGUGGGGAAAACCAAGGUGAAAUCUGUGACUUGUGAUAAUGCCUAUUGAUUCCUCCUUGUCUCAAAUUAAAUAAAUAACUUUGUUUACUUUG